Molecule: ribosomal RNA, 518 nt
Filed under: uncultured bacterium
Lineage: Bacteria
Description: bacterial SSU rRNA
Rfam family: Bacterial small subunit ribosomal RNA
Source: RNAcentral
GCUAGACGAGUUUGAUCAUGGCUCAGGAUGAACGCUAGCGGGAGGCUUAAUACAUGCAAGUCGAGGGUAACGAGGGGCUUCGGCCCGCUGACGACCGGCGCACGGGUGAGUAACGCGUACGCAACUUACCCUCCAAGGCGGGGGCAUACGGACCCCGGGAAACGUGGGAUUUAACUACCCCAUUAGUUUGCAUUGGCUGCAUGGUCAGUGCAAUAAAGUUGAGGCGCUUGGAGAUAGGCGUGCGUCUGAUUAGGUAGUUGGUAGGGUAACGGCCUACCAAGCCGACGAUCAGUAGGGGGCGUGAGAGCGUGGCCCCCCACACGGGUACUGAGACACGGACCCGACUCCUACGGGAGGCAGUAGUAAGGAAUAUUGGACAAUGGACGAAAGUCUGAUCCAGCCAUCCCGCGUGCAGGAUGAAUGCCCUAUGGGUUGUAAACUGCUUUUGGAAGGGAAGAAACGCCUGGAUUUAUCCGGGCCUGACGGUACCUUCAGAAUAAGCACCGGCUAACUCCGUG